AUCACCUGGGGAUCAUGUUAAAAUGCAGAUUCUGAUUCCGUUGACCCAGGGUGAGACUGGAGAUUCUGCAUGUAUAACAAGUUCCCAGGUGAUACUGA
Molecule: microRNA precursor, 98 nt
Filed under: Camelus bactrianus (Bactrian camel)
Lineage: Eukaryota; Metazoa; Chordata; Mammalia; Artiodactyla; Camelidae
Also listed under: 2 other names
Description: mir-544 microRNA precursor family
Rfam family: mir-544 microRNA precursor family
Source: Rfam by way of RNAcentral